UGCUUAACACAUGCAAGUCGAACGGAAAGGCCCUGCUUUUGUGGGGUGCUCGAGUGGCGAACGGGUGAGUAACACGUGAGUAACCUGCCCUUGACUUUGGGAUAACUUCAGGAAACUGGGGCUAAUACCGGAUAGGAGCUCCUGCUGCAUGGUGGGGGUUGGAAAGUUUCGGCGGUUGGGGAUGGACUCGCGGCUUAUCAGCUUGUUGGUGGGGUAGUGGCUUACCAAGGCUUUGACGGGUAGCCGGCCUGAGAGGGUGACCGGCCACAUUGGGACUGAGAUACGGCCCAGACUCCUACGGGAGGCAGCAGUGGGGAAUAUUGCACAAUGGGCGGAAGCCUGAUGCAGCAACGCCGCGUGCGGGAUGACGGCCUUCGGGUUGUAAACCGCUUUCGCCUGUGACGAAGCGUGAGUGACGGUAAUGGGUAAAGAAGCACCGGCUAACUACGUGCCAGCAGCCGCGGUGAUACGUAGGGUGCGAGCGUUGUCCGGAUUUAUUGGGCGUAAAGGGCUCGUAGGUGGUUGAUCGCGUCGGAAGUGUAAUCUUGGGGCUUAACCCUGAGCGUGCUUUCGAUACGGGUUGACUUGAGGAAGGUAGGGGAGAAUGGAAUUCCUGGUGGAGCGGUGGAAUGCGCAGAUAUCAGGAGGAACACCAGUGGCGAAGGCGGUUCUCUGGGCCUUUCCUGACGCUGAGGAGCGAAAGCGUGGGGAGCGAACAGGCUUAGAUACCCUGGUAGUCCACGCUGUAAACGGUGGGUACUAGGUGUGGGGUCCAUUCCACGGGUUCCGUGCCGUAGCUAACGCUUUAAGUACCCCGCCUGGGGAGUACGGCCGCAAGGCUAAAACUCAAAGGAAUUGACGGGGCCCCGCACAAGCGGCGGAGCAUGCGGAUUAAUUCGAUGCAACGCGUAGAACCUUACCUGGGUUUGACAUGGAUCGGGAGUGCUCAGAGAUGGGUGUGCCUCUUUUGGGGUCGGUUCACAGGUGGUGCAUGGCUGUCGUCAACUCGUGUCGUGAGAUGUUGGGUUAAGUCCCGCAACGAGCGCAACCCUUGUUCACUGUUGCCAGCACGUUAUGGUGGGGACUCAGUGGAGACCGCCGGGGUCAACUCGGAGGAAGGUGGGGAUGACGUCAAGUCAUCAUGCCCCUUAUGUCCAGGGCUUCACGCAUGCUACAAUGGCUGGUACAGAGAGUGGCGAGCCUGUGAGGGUGAGCGAAUCUCGGAAAGCCGGUCUCAGUUCGGAUUGGGGUCUGCAACUCGACCUCAUGAAGUCGGAGUCGCUAGUAAUCGCAGAUCAGCAACGCUGCGGUGAAUACGUUCCCGGGGCUUGUACACACCGCCCGUCAAGUCAUGAAAGUUGGUAACACCCGAAGCCGGUGGCCUAACCGUUGAGGGGGAGCCGUCGAAGGUGGGACUGGUGAUUAGGACUCA
RNAcentral lists this ribosomal RNA (1432 nucleotides) under uncultured organism. RNAcentral's name for it is "partial small subunit ribosomal RNA". It matches the Rfam family "Bacterial small subunit ribosomal RNA". The record is from RNAcentral.